GAUGAAGAACGCAGCGAAAUGCGAUAAGUAAUGUGAAUUGCAGAAUUCAGUGAAUCAUCGAAUCUUUGAACGCACCUUGCACCCUUUGGUAUUCCGAAGGGUAUGCCUGUUCGAGUGUCAUGAAACUCUCAAACCGUCAACUUUAUUGAUGGCGGGUUUGGACUUGGACGUUGCUGGGUUCACGCUCGGCUCGUCUUAAAUGCAUUAGCUGGCUCUUUCGGCUUCAGUUACUCGGUGUGAUAAUACAUCUACGCCGUAGCCGCAAGGCGCUGAGGUCGAAUACGGAGCGGCUUAUAACCGUCCUCGGACAAUUUUCAUCACAUCUGGCCUCGAAUCAGGUAGGACUACCCGCUGAACUUAAGCAUAUCAAUAAGCGGAGGA
Molecule: unclassified non-coding RNA, 381 nt
Filed under: soil metagenome
Description: partial contains 5.8S ribosomal RNA, internal transcribed spacer 2, and large subunit ribosomal RNA
Rfam family: 5.8S ribosomal RNA (bases 1-120)
Source: RNAcentral